GCGAAAGUGGCGAAAUUGGUAGACGCACUGGAUUUAGGUUCCAGCGCCGCGAGGCGUGAGAGUUCGAGUCUCUCCUUUCGCA
This 82-nucleotide transfer RNA is filed under the name Corchorus olitorius. It matches the Rfam family "tRNA". From Rfam's summary of the family: Transfer RNA (tRNA) molecules are approximately 80 nucleotides in length. Their secondary structure includes four short double-helical elements and three loops (D, anti-codon, and T loops). Lineage: Eukaryota; Viridiplantae; Streptophyta; Magnoliopsida; Malvales; Malvaceae. RNAcentral also lists the same sequence under 1 other name. The record is from Rfam by way of RNAcentral.